GAUGAACGCUGGCGGCGUGCUUAACACAUGCAAGUCGAACGAUGAAGCCCAGCUUGCUGGGUGGAUUAGUGGCGAACGGGUGAGUAACACGUGAGUAACCUGCCCUUAACUCUGGGAUAAGCCUGGGAAACUGGGUCUAAUACCGGAUAGGAGCGCCUACCGCAUGGUGGGUGUUGGAAAGAUUUAUCGGUUUUGGAUGGACUCGCGGCCUAUCAGCUUGUUGGUGAGGUAAUGGCUCACCAAGGCGACGACGGGUAGCCGGCCUGAGAGGGUGACCGGCCACACUGGGACUGAGACACGGCCCAGACUCCUACGGGAGGCAGCAGUGGGGAAUAUUGCACAAUGGGCGAAAGCCUGAUGCAGCGACGCCGCGUGAGGGAUGACGGCCUUCGGGUUGUAAACCUCUUUCAGUAGGGAAGAAGCGACAGUGACGGUACCUGCAGAAGAAGCACCGGCUAACUACGUG
Molecule: ribosomal RNA, 466 nt
Filed under: uncultured bacterium
Lineage: Bacteria
Description: partial 16S ribosomal RNA
Rfam family: Bacterial small subunit ribosomal RNA
Source: RNAcentral